RNAcentral lists this ribosomal RNA (253 nucleotides) under uncultured bacterium. RNAcentral describes it as "partial 16S ribosomal RNA". It matches the Rfam family "Bacterial small subunit ribosomal RNA", at positions 524 to 776 of the family's 1533-position model. The record is from RNAcentral.
UACGGGGGGGGCAAGCGUUGUUCGGAAUUACUGGGCGUAAAGGGCUCGUAGGCGGCCAACUAAGUCGGAUGUGAAAUCCCCAGGCUUAACCUAGGAAUUGCAUCCGAUACUGGAUGGCUUGAAUCCGGGAGAGGGAUGCGGAAUUCCAGGUGUAGCGGUGAAAUGCGUAGAUAUCUGGAGGAACACCGGUGGCGAAGGCGGCAUCCUGGACCGGCAUUGACGCUGAGGAGCGAAAGCCAGGGGAGCAAACGGG